UACAGAGGGUGCUAGCGUUAAUCGGAAUUACUGGGCGUAAAGCGUGUGUAGGUGGUUAGAUAAGUUAGAUGUGAAAUCCCCGGGCUUAACCUGGGCAUUGCGUUUAAGACUGUUUAGCUUGAGUACUGUAGAGGAUAGUGGAAUUUCCAGUGUAGCGGUGAAAUGCGUAGAUAUUGGAAGGAACACCAGUGGCGAAGGCGACUAUCUGGACAGAUACUGACACUGAGACACGAAAGCGUGGGGAGCAAAC
Molecule: ribosomal RNA, 250 nt
Filed under: uncultured bacterium
Lineage: Bacteria
Description: partial 16S ribosomal RNA
Rfam family: Bacterial small subunit ribosomal RNA
Source: RNAcentral